Molecule: long non-coding RNA, 224 nt
Organism: Erinaceus europaeus (western European hedgehog)
Lineage: Eukaryota; Metazoa; Chordata; Mammalia; Eulipotyphla; Erinaceidae
Exons: 3
Source: RefSeq, a predicted model, not a curated record
AGGUUGUGGAGACUCGUUCAGGAACAUGAUGUUUUCCAUUAACUUUGAGACUGACUGACCUUUGACUCCAUAGCGUGGCAGAAAGGCAAUGAAAGUAAAAGAGACCACAGCAGUGAAGCUUUCUUCAGUGUAGUGAAGACCAAGCUCAAACCUGGGACAAACACACAUGGCAAAGCAGGACACUAUGUUGUGAAACACUUCCCCAAAGAGGAGCCAGCUCAUAU